AUGUUCACAAUUUUGAAAACAAAUGUUUGGAAAUGCAAAAUGUUCAUGUUUUUUAAAGUCCGUGUAUUAAAAAAUGUUGUUGAAACUGAACAAAAUGUUCGCCGAAAUUUUAUCUGUGACGCAGCAAAUUGUUGUCAUGGCCUUUGGAGAUUACGAUUUUUUUUCUCCCGUUGCAAUGCACGGGCCCUUUUGCUGGUAGACACUAAUGCAACUUCUCCUAUGACAAUUUUACUGGUCCUUAGCUGCUGCCUUUUUCCUUUUCAGCAUCAUGUGCCACUUAUGCCACUAAUCACUCCACCCUUCAUAAAGAUGCAUGUAUUUACUACUGUCCUCUUCCUUUUCCACAUCAUGUGUCACUUUUGCCACUGA
RNAcentral lists this ribosomal RNA (369 nucleotides) under Triticum aestivum (bread wheat). RNAcentral describes it as "partial small subunit ribosomal RNA". Lineage: Eukaryota; Viridiplantae; Streptophyta; Magnoliopsida; Poales; Poaceae. The record is from RNAcentral.